UUAUAUAUAAAUAAAUAUUAUUUAAUUUAAAUUGAAGCACUUACCACACAAAGUGGCCAUUAACUUGAGACAACAAGGCCUGUCUGAGUGCAUGGUUUUACUCUACCCAAUGCCAAAUCUUUAGCUCCUGUAAUUAAAAAAAAACACAUAACUGUGUGUUAAUUUUUAUGUAUUUCUUCAUAAUCUGAACAACACGAAAAACAAAAAGCCAAUACUCAAACCCCAAGACAAGUUCAAUACAGAUUAUAAAACUACUAGUACAAGAACCUUAGAAUAAUAUUACAUCAUUAAUUACACAGUCUGCAACUCCUUUUAAAGCAUUUAUUUCUAUUAUUUUAUUUUCAAAAUACCCCCUUAGAUCCAACCCACCCACACUUUAGAUUCUUACAGCUUGUGUUCAUUACACACACCCAAAAUAAAAAAUAAAAAAAUAGAUAGAUGGUCUGUCUGCAACUACAUGGAAAGAGGGUCACCCUUUUCUUGAUGAAAAUAAACCAGGUAAAAAAACACACAUAUAUGUAUGUAAAGAUAUGUAAUGUUUUUUUAUUUCUACAUAGUUUUUUUGAAAUAAUUGGUCUGAUUUCUGAUCCAUAGAUGAACAGUAAAAGGGUUUUCAGACUCUGGUGAGGGGAGGGGGACCCACAGUUGAAUUGAAGAAAGAAGAAGAUGAAUGAAUAUAUUCACAUGUGUGUAUGAGAAAUCUUAAUCUUACUCUUACAGACUGUUGCAUUCAUCUUCUGAUCAGAGUUCCCAGUUUCAACCACUCAUUGAACUCCACCUGUCAUAAUCAAACCAAGGUUAAGAAGAAAGAAAGGAAAACUUAAAAAAAGCCAAAAGUUCCUAUUUUUCUUGCAUUGCUUAAAAAAAGAUUGUUAGCAGGAAGAAAGUGUUUGAGGUGUGGGAGUUUGGGGGGCCGGGGCCUCCUCAUUCAUUCAUUAACAGAACAUGGGUGAAGAAGCAGAAAUCCCCACCGUUGAUUAUGACACCAAGUCACUUACGGUGAAGAUAUCUAAUUCCGGCAAGGAAACUCUCGCCGGCAACUCGUUGACGAAGAACCCAUCGGCGAAUUCGUCUCCGUACAACUCCCCACUUAUCUCCCCUCCUUCAUCAGCCUUCGUUUCGGCAUUGCAAUCACCUUACAUUUCUCCAAGGGCUACCGUCGCCACCACCGCCGGAGCCGGAGCCGGAGCCGGAAACCCUUCCGACGAAAGUCCAACUCCGGCGACCACACUCACCCACCCCUCCUAUCCGGUUUCCUCCGACGAUGUCCCCAGCACGUCCUACAACACCCCACCGCCGGAGAAGCUCAAGAUCGUCACUUGCGUUCCGGGUCCGGGUCCGGGUCCGGGCCAGGAAAAUGCGGGCCGGAUUUCGUUCUCGUUUCCCGCCCCUCGAAUCUCGUUCGCCAAGGGCGGGUACGCCUCUUCUCCCGCCGGCGCCGCCGCCGCCGCCGCGAACGCGAAGCUGAGGAGCUGCGACGUGUACGUGGGCUUUCACGGCCAGAACCCUAACUUAUCUCGGUUCUGCAAAUGGCUGAAAUCGGAGCUCGAGAUACAGGGCAUCGCCUGCUUCGUCGCCGACAGAGCAAAGUACGCCGACAACCAGAGCCACGAAAUCGCCGACAGGGUUAUCUGCUCCGUCGCCUACGGUGUCGCGGUGGUCACAAACCACAGCCUCCUCAACCACCUCAGCUUAGAAGAAAUCAGAUUCUUCGCCCAGAAAAAGAAUCUAAUCCCAUUAUUUUUCAACACCGACGCCGACGAAAUCACCACCCUCUUCAACCCAAACGGAGACAAUAACAACAAGGAGUGUAAAGAAGCACUCGACGGACUAAUGAAAUGCCACGAGUUCAAAUUAGAAGCCGAUGAGGGAAACUGGAGAAGCACCGUAUCAAGAACCGCCGCCAUAUUGAGGGGCAAACUCGGAAGAAAGAGCGUCGCCGAAAAGGAAAUCAAUGCACACACAAACGAAGAACUACCCUUUCCUCGAAACAAGAAUUUCGUCGGCAGGGAGAAAGAAAUUACAGAUAUCGAAACUGCAUUUUUCGGGUGUGGAGAUUAUUUCGAGCAAGAAUGUAGUAGAAUUACGGUCCCGACCGUUAAAAACGUGACACCUGGACAAUCCGACGACGGAGAAAGCGAAGUCGGAGGCAAAUACAUUAGUUUGGAACCGAAUUUAGAGGCGUGGGUUGAGCCAGCAAUUGGAAGAAACUCUCUCAAAAGGGCUAAAUACAAGAAAUCGAAAAGUGGGAAGUACAAGAGCUUUGGUAGCAGCAUUGUGUGUGUAACCGGUUCACCGGGAGUUGGAAAAACCGAGCUGGCUUUGGAAUUCGCUCACCGAUUCUCGCAGAGGUACAAGAUGGUUUUGUGGGUGGGCGGGGAAUCUCGGUAUUUCAGGCAGAAUAUACUGAACAUAUCUCUCAACAUGGGAUUGGAUGUGAGCGCGGACGAAGAGAAGGAGAGGGGUAGGAUCCGUAAUUUCGACGAACAAGAAUCGGAAGCGUUCAAAAGGGUUAAAAGGGAAUUGUUUCGCGAGAUGCCCUAUUUACUCAUAAUCGACAAUCUUGAAACCGAGAGGGAAUGGUGGGAAGGUAAAGACCUACACGAUUUAAUACCAAGAAACACGGGCGGGACCCACGUGAUCAUUACAAGUAGGCUCUCGAGAGUGAUGAGCAUCGAUCCGAUGCAUCUUCAGACACUGCCUUUGCCCGAAGCAACAACACUGAUCAAAGGGAGACGGAAAAGGGAAUAUCCGGAUGCUGAGCUGGAAUUUCUCGGAAAAUUCGACGAGAAAUUGGGUCGAUCGAGUUUUGGCUUAAAUGUGAUAAGCUCGUUGCUUUCGGAACUCGGAAUAUCACCGUCUGCUUUGUUUGAGGCGGUGAACCAGGUUCAGUACGAUGAAACGAUAAACUGCUUGAGUUUGAGCAGUUCAGAGCAGCAAUUCUGCAGGACAAGCCCUUUCCUAAUGAAGGUCUUGUCCUUUUGCGGUGAUAUAUUACAGCAAGUCAACGGCAAUGGGAACACUCUUGCUUCAAGAAUGCUUCAAGCUGGAGCAUGGUUUGCACCUGCACCAGUUCCAGCAAAUUUAUUAGCUACAGCAGCAAAUAAUGUACCGAAAACCAGAAACAAACUGAAAAGUUGGACAAGAUUCUUAAAGCUCACAAUCAGUUGCUGCUCAGGUUGUCUGUCAAACCAAUCAUGGAAGAGCGAAGAAGAAUCGGCUCUUCUCUUAGUACGGCUCGGUUUAGCCCGGAAAGUCAACAUACAACAACAACAACAGCAAGGGUGUUGGAUUCAAUUCCACCCCAUAACUCAGAUAUUCGCGAAAUCGAGAUUCGGACUAACCGCAGCAAAAGCAGCCGUUCAAGGAGUGAGGAAAAUCGGGAAUCCGUCGCUGAAUUCGGACCACUUAUGGGCAUCGGCUUUUCUCGUAUUCGGAUUCA
RNAcentral lists this long non-coding RNA (3442 nucleotides) under Erythranthe guttata (spotted monkey flower). Its description in RNAcentral is "long non-coding RNA (EGUT_LNC001603)". The record is from RNAcentral. Lineage: Eukaryota; Viridiplantae; Streptophyta; Magnoliopsida; Lamiales; Phrymaceae.